UUUGUAACUCCGCCUGUAGCCCCUCCAGAGGUUACUGCCGGUCCCAAGCCCGGAUAAAGGAGAAGGAUUGG
RNAcentral lists this non-coding RNA (71 nucleotides) under Schistosoma mansoni. The record is from RNAcentral. Lineage: Eukaryota; Metazoa; Platyhelminthes; Trematoda; Strigeidida; Schistosomatidae.